GACGAACGCUGGCGGCGUGCUUAACACAUGCAAGUCGAACGGUGAAGCGCCUUCCUUUUUGGUGGGUGUGGAUGAGUGGCGAACGGGUGAGUAACACGUGAGUAACCUGCCCCCUUCUUCUGGAUAACCGCAUGAAAGUGUGGCUAAUACGGGAUAUUCUGGGUCUGUCGCAUGAUGGGUCUGGGAAAGAUAUUGUUUCGGUGGGGGAUGGGCUCGCGGCCUAUCAGCUUGUUGGUGGGGUGAUGGCCUACCAAGGCGGUGACGGGUAGCCGGCGUGAGAGGGUGGACGGUCACACUGGGACUGAGACACGGCCCAGACUCCUACGGGAGGCAGCGGUGGGGAAUAUUGCACAAUGGGCGCAAGCCUGAUGCAGCGACGCCGCGUGAGGGAUGGAGGCCUUCGGGUUGUGAACCUCUUUCGGCAGUGAAGCAGGCCUGCCUCGUUUGUGGGUGGGUUGACGGUAGCUGGAUAAGAAGCGCCGGCUAACUACGU
Molecule: ribosomal RNA, 493 nt
Filed under: uncultured bacterium
Lineage: Bacteria
Description: partial 16S ribosomal RNA
Rfam family: Bacterial small subunit ribosomal RNA
Source: RNAcentral